GGUCCCACCUGCCCAGUGACUUUUUAAACGGCCGCGGUAUCCUAACCGUGCAAAGGUAGCAUAAUCACUUGUCCUCUAAAUAAGGACUAGAAUGAAUGGUCAAAUGAGGACUAAACUGUCUCUUACAUCUAACCAAUAAAACUGAUCUUUUAGUUAAAAAGCUAAAAUAUACUCAUAAGACGAGAAGACCCUGUGGAGCUUAAAACCAAACCCAUUAAUUAUGACCCCUUGGUUUUUAGUUGGGGCGACUUCGGAGUACAAAAAACCCUCCAAUAUGGAUUUAUACUAAGAACAACACAUCAAAGUAUAAACACCUAGACCCAAUACUUCCAGUAAUAAUUGAUCAAUGAACCAAGUUACCCCAGGGAUAACAGCGCUAUCCUCUUCCAGAGUCCAUAUCGACAAGAGGGUUUACGACCUCGAUGUUGGAUCAGGACACCCAAAUAGUGCAGCCGCUAUUAAAGGUUCGUUUGUUCAACGAUAAAAGUCCUA
Molecule: ribosomal RNA, 492 nt
Filed under: Tropidosaura cottrelli
Lineage: Eukaryota; Metazoa; Chordata; Lepidosauria; Squamata; Lacertidae
Description: partial 16S large subunit ribosomal RNA
Rfam family: Bacterial large subunit ribosomal RNA
Source: RNAcentral